Long non-coding RNA from Oncorhynchus tshawytscha (Chinook salmon), 405 nucleotides. RefSeq lists it as uncharacterized. The transcript has 2 exons. The record is from RefSeq and is a predicted model, not a curated record. NCBI's taxonomy places the organism in Eukaryota, Metazoa, Chordata, Actinopteri, Salmoniformes, Salmonidae.
UAUCCAGGGGAUUGGGAUGGUGUGACUGGGAGUGCAUUAGACACUUCUCUGAGGUGAGAGGGGCUAUAUCCAGGGGGUUGGGAUGGUGUGACUGGGAGUGCAUUAGACACUUCUCUGAGGUGUGUGUGGGGUCUCCACUCAUCCCAUUUCAGUCUCUCAGAGGACCCACUCACCCCAAGCAGUCCCACACCAGCCACUAUACUUUCAUUUACAUUUAUAAGGUAAUACAAGCUGAUAACAAUACUUAAGUGGAAGACUUUCUUUAAAUGUAUGUACAGUGUAUCCACAGUUUUUUGUUGUUGGUACAUUAGGAGAGGCAUAAAAAGGCAUAGUGCUUCAAGUACAAAGAGAUACUUUGGUUUGUUAUGUAUUAUUGUAUUUCUUUGCCCACAUGCUCUAAAUACA